UUAACUUUUGAAUGUGCGAACCAAAAAGCCCCUGACUCAGAAGUAUUUCCUGUACAGACCUGAUGUCGCGACACUAUAAUGCUUGUGUCGUGACGUCGAAGGCAGUGUGCUCAGGUUCAGGGUAACUUCAGGGGUGUGUCGCGACAUCCCAUAGCUGUGUCGUGACAUCGAAGGCUAUCUCAAGAUUCCUGCAUUCUAUUCCCUAUGUUGCGACAUUAAACUUCCUGUGUUGCAACAUAGCGAUCAAUAUUGAGUUUAUACGCUCUCAAAUGGUCUCUUGCA
Molecule: long non-coding RNA, 282 nt
Filed under: Gossypium barbadense (sea-island cotton)
Lineage: Eukaryota; Viridiplantae; Streptophyta; Magnoliopsida; Malvales; Malvaceae
Description: long non-coding RNA (GBAR_LNC007486)
Source: RNAcentral